Molecule: non-coding RNA, 73 nt
Organism: Paramuricea clavata
Lineage: Eukaryota; Metazoa; Cnidaria; Anthozoa; Malacalcyonacea; Plexauridae
Source: the annotation of a GenBank genome assembly
AUUUCUCAAUGAUGAUUUUUACCUACAUUGCUUGAGGACAACCUGUGAGAACAAUAAAGUGACUGAGAGAAAU